This is a long non-coding RNA of Herpailurus yagouaroundi (jaguarundi), 429 nucleotides long. RefSeq lists it as uncharacterized. The record is from RefSeq and is a predicted model, not a curated record. The transcript has 4 exons. NCBI's taxonomy places the organism in Eukaryota, Metazoa, Chordata, Mammalia, Carnivora, Felidae.
UUUUUCUUUCAUUAGAUGUGUAUAAUAAAUUGAAUAUAUGAGGAUGGAAGUUGAUAAAUGUUAAAUGAUGAAGGAAAUUAUUACCUUUAAACGGAAUGUGACUCCAGGAAGCAGAUCUGACGAGCAGGGACAGAAAACAUGGAAGGAGGAAAAAUAAUGUAAGAUUGCAGGAUCUUAAAAACUAAAGAUUGGGACAACAGAACCUUCACUUCUAUAAAAAUGUUUUCAAGUCCUGUGUUAAAUUAUGCUGAAUGCAUUUUCUGCUUUGAUAUAAUAGACCCCUACAGCAAGACUAUUCGAUUUACUUCUUUGUGUAUCAAUGUGAUGCUGGCUUAACCCACGAAUCCAUUUUGGUCUUCUGAGUUUUGUAUGAUCCAAGGUCCCCACUAUAUCACCCAUCGAUUUUAGUAUGUCUCUGAUCCAGGAGAA